AUUCAGCUGACAAUUCCUAAACAGAAUGAAACGCGUGUCCUGGAU
Molecule: non-coding RNA, 45 nt
Organism: Schistosoma haematobium
Lineage: Eukaryota; Metazoa; Platyhelminthes; Trematoda; Strigeidida; Schistosomatidae
Source: Rfam